RNAcentral lists this long non-coding RNA (352 nucleotides) under Bos taurus (domestic cattle). RNAcentral describes it as "long non-coding RNA NONBTAT023989". The record is from RNAcentral. Lineage: Eukaryota; Metazoa; Chordata; Mammalia; Artiodactyla; Bovidae.
AAGAAACUUAAGUAACUAUGGCAGAAUAUACAUGCGGUAAGGAAAUUUACUGAAGGAAAAAGUCACCUCUGCCUGGGAUAGGGGAUUAGUUUUUAAAGGGAUGCCUAAAGGAAAUACAGCCUUAAAUUGCUCCUAUGCCUUGGUUGAUAGAUAUUUGUUUACUUAGGAGAUUCUGGCUAAGAGCGCUUAGGUGGUCCUUUCCUGAAAUUAUUUGGAAAUAUUUAUUUUAUUGUAUAUUUGUGUGUUUUGAGGGGGUAGAAAAAUUCUGUUCCCUAUUAUCAGAUGCUGCCAGGGAUCUGUGACCCAAAACAGAAAAAUAGCCACUGCUUUUACAAUCCAAGAUGUACAGUUU